GGCCGGGUGGCGCAAUGGUAGCGCGUUGCUUUCCGGUAAAUGGAGGUUGGCAGAAGUUGCGGGUUCGUAAGUUGAAUGAGGUUCGUUCUCCAGUAUUUCAGACCUAAUGAGCAUGGUAGAAGUCCCGUCUCGGUCG
Molecule: non-coding RNA, 136 nt
Organism: Lithohypha guttulata
Lineage: Eukaryota; Fungi; Ascomycota; Eurotiomycetes; Chaetothyriales; Trichomeriaceae
Source: the annotation of a RefSeq genome assembly